Molecule: long non-coding RNA, 212 nt
Organism: Gopherus evgoodei (Goodes thornscrub tortoise)
Lineage: Eukaryota; Metazoa; Chordata; Testudines; Testudinidae
Exons: 3
Source: RefSeq, a predicted model, not a curated record
UUACACAGAAGACAUCUAUCGUAUAUACCAGUUCAUAAGCCAAAUUGUUUUAGUGAAAAAGGGAAGCAUCAGAGAAGGGGGUCGGCUUAUGAACGAGUAUAGAGAGAGGGAGAGGUGGGACACGGCCCCUCCCCCAAACAGAAGGGGCAAGGAGCUGCAGCACAGUCAGCAGAGCCAGAAGGGAAGAGGUAGGGCCAGCGUCUCUCCGCUUC